RNAcentral lists this long non-coding RNA (2153 nucleotides) under Triticum aestivum (bread wheat). Its description in RNAcentral is "long non-coding RNA (TAES_LNC023690)". Lineage: Eukaryota; Viridiplantae; Streptophyta; Magnoliopsida; Poales; Poaceae. The record is from RNAcentral.
GCCUUAUCCACUCAGGGACCCGUUGGUGAUGAAAAUAUUCACAGAUUGGUCCCUGAUCUUCUUCACCUUGUAACUUCUCAACCGUAACUCCGUUUAAGGUGAAACCAACGCUCACUUCUUCGUUUCGUCGAGACCUUUCUGUUGAUGUCACUUUCAUUAAGUUUUGACAUUCUUAAAAUGACUAUUUUGCCCUUGCACGUAAACAACCCCUCCGAGAGAGAACUGUUUCCGGCAAAUCUUUUCGCGGCUUCACCGCACUUCUCCCCGGUGCCUUCUUCACCCCCAGGCAAGCCACAAUACCCACUUGCAUGAUAGUCAUGUAGUAGCCAUGGUUUUCAACUUGAAUCUUUAUUAAAUGUUUGCUUGUUUAAAAUAUGGUUACCGUUGUUUCGGUAAUGCUUCUGGACUAGUGCUUACUUUCUUGCUAUGUUGUUAUGCACCUGGUUGUCAUGCCCAUGCUAGUUGCUAGUAUUCCUUUCAUAUUGCCAUGCUUGAUAGUAGUACAUGCUGAUGAUGGUGAUGGUCUUCGGUGCACGACUGUCGUCUGUCCCGAGUACCGUCGUUAUGCAUGUCCCUUUACAUCCAGUUGGUUAAAUGCUUGCAUGAUGGCAUUGUUGAUAUGUUCUUGCAUGAUAUUUAUGGUUGAUGCUAGUGGUCAUGCUAUGUUUCGGAGAAGUAUGUACUUAUGAUGUUCAUGCUCUUCAUUAUGCCAUGUUCAGUUGGAUAUGAUUCAUAGUUGAUAUGGUGGAUAGUUAUGUGGUACCCUCAUGAUUAUGUUGAUAUCCUGUUCAUGCAUUUUAUCAUGGCUCAUCAUAUUUGCAUUCAAGUUAACCGGAUUAAAUUGAACUUUAACAACUGUUGGCUGAGUCAUGGUGCCGCUGAAUCGAUGCUGACCAGUGCAACCACGCUUACCGGUAUGGGACGGUCCUAACUGGGUCUAUUGUUGUGCCUCUCGUCGGUGCCUCCAACGAGGGAAGGUUAUGGGCGCGCGCUACCCUGAUCAGGUAGGCGGACAUAACCUUGUGUGCCCGUUGUUGAGUUUUUUUUGGAUCCAUGUCCCCGUGUGGGACGGGCCACGACGGUGGUCGUUGGUGUCUUUGGUAGACACGGGGCCACCCAUGACUUAGCCCAGAGGGGAGUGAGUUGGAGUGGCCGGGAGAGUGUCAUGGCAGUAGGACGGUUUUGUCGGAACGCCGUUGGUCCACCCGAAUGGGAGUACGAGGCCAUGGGUUCCGUAGUGUGGGUACAGUGUACUAACCUCUGCAGAGUGUAUAUUAAAUCUAUCGAUAGCCGCGCCCACGGAUAAGGGCCCAGGUCGAAAGUAGGUCACACCAUGAGUCAACAGUAAUAAGAAUAACUUGAUUAAUGACAACCCGUGGUUGUGAUCGCCGUAAGGAUCACGGUUUGAGACCAAGUGUUGGUCGUGGUUGUGAUCGUCGUAAGGAUCACCGUGGUAUCGAGGAUACCGAGUUGUUGGAUAUUCGUGAUGUUGUGCGAGAGUCAUGGGUAAAGAUCAAGCUCCUUGUGGUCAUUUACUGAUCGCUAUGGUAUUGUUUAUACCAAGCUUGACUUGAUCCUGAGAUGAUCAUGUGAUGUCCGAGGAUGGUAAGUGAUGCAUGUGACGGUUACCAAGAAACCCGAGCAGAAUAAGUGGUGCAUAUAGUGUCAUCAUGUUGCAUGCUAGUAUUGUGAGAUUAAUAUGUUCAUGUUGUGUUAGCUGUAUCAUGUUGUUCAUGCUAUAUUGUUCUGAUGAUAUCAUGAUAAUCCCUGCUUAACCUGUAAUUGCCAUGCUGUUGUUUGUCUUGAAUGCUUCUGGAUUAUUGUGAGCUUGCAAGUACAUUCAAUGUACUGACCUGGCGUGUCAUGCCAGUUUGCAGGUCAUGCCGGAUUUGAUUGCGUGCUUGUCGUGGUUUCCGUUCGUGCGAGCUAGGAUAAGCGUUCCAGCCAGAGUCCCUGCGGAGUGGAGUUCACCACCGUCUUCGUUGUUCCGCUGCUAGAGUUAUUCCGCUGCUUCGAGUUGUUCUGCUGCUUGCAUAGAGCAACUGAGGAUGGCGUAGUUUCGCCGUACCGAUGUUAUUCAUUGUAAUAUCGGAGACCUUGUAUUCAUACUCGUGUAAUAAUAGAAAGCUGGUUUGUUCUAUGCUAAGCAGUGC